RNAcentral lists this transfer RNA (72 nucleotides) under Phrynosoma platyrhinos (Desert horned lizard). Its description in RNAcentral is "tRNA-OTHER". It matches the Rfam family "tRNA". Rfam says of the family: Transfer RNA (tRNA) molecules are approximately 80 nucleotides in length. Their secondary structure includes four short double-helical elements and three loops (D, anti-codon, and T loops). Lineage: Eukaryota; Metazoa; Chordata; Lepidosauria; Squamata; Phrynosomatidae. The record is from RNAcentral.
GCCAGUGUGGUGUAGUGGUCUGAGUAUUGGACUAUGACUCUGGAGACCAGGGUUUGAAUCCCUGCUCAGUCA